Molecule: long non-coding RNA, 1276 nt
Organism: Neopsephotus bourkii (Bourke's parrot)
Lineage: Eukaryota; Metazoa; Chordata; Aves; Psittaciformes; Psittacidae
Exons: 4
Source: RefSeq, a predicted model, not a curated record
GCAGUACAUGUACAGGUAGAGGUCUCAGAAGGGAGGACAGCAAGAGUGAAGGGGACAGUGGUAGUGGUGUAACUUUCACCUGUUCUGAAACAUAGAGGAUUUUCAUCAGAGCACCAAGAGGAGACCACAGGACUAGGCAGUCUCAGGAAUGCAUCCGCUGUCUGUAUAGGAACACCAUACUGUCAAAUAAAAGAAUAUAUUCCAUUGUACAGUUUGUAGCAUGAAUACAGAAAAUACUGGGAUUGACUUGGUCAAUUAAUUUAAAUACUCUUUCUGGUGGAUUUGCUUCAACAUCAAGUGAAUAUAUGGCAGCUUUCUGACUACACAGACGGCUGUCACCUCUGCAAGCAAUAAUAAUAAAAUCAGUGACCUACUUCAACUAUUACUCUACUGAAGUGAGUUUGAGAGCUGGUAUUCUGUAAUAAAUCCUGAUUUAAGAACAACAGAUUGAAGACAAUUAAGCCCAGUGCACUGCAGGUAAGACAUUCAAACAACAUUCAUUUUCGUAACUAAUGUUGCUUUUAUUUUGACUCUUGCCCAUUUCUCUAUGGCCUCUCGGAUGUUCUCUGACCAUCUGAACAGUAUCCAGGUAUUUCCUGGAAUCUCUGAUGCUCUGACUGUUCCGUUCGCUGAGUUUAGUGCUGCAAUCCUUAGCUCACCUCGUAAACAAGGUAAGUUUAAACACAGAUGAUUAGAUUGGGAGGUUGUAUUUCUGAGAUCAGAGAUUUAAGUCUCUUUUUCCCUAAGGAAGGGUACACACCGGGACAUGUUUAAUUUGGCAAGUAACCCAGGCAAGCUGAACACUUGGCAACAACACUGGGAAAACGAAAGCUAAAGUAUACCUGCCGAUUAGGAGCCAGUAGGAAACAAAACAACGAUCUGUGAUGGAUCUUGCCAUAGCAUCACUAUAAACGCACAGAGUUCCGAGUCUUGGAGCAUACUGUGUGUGCAACCAGCUCGGUUUGGAGAUCUCCAGCACACACAGGGUGAGCCUGGGUCUCCUCUGCCAGGCCAGGCUGUGCCCCGUGGGAUCAGAGCAGGGUGCUGGGUGGGCAGGGGGACCUGUAUCCUGGCUGUGCAUGCCAGGCUCAGCGUACCCAGUGGCUGUGUAGGGAUACUGUAGGGUUGUAUACCUGCCUGAGGAAGCCCUGAGCCCCGGCUGGACUGGGGUACUGCUAGAGAGGGGUGCUCGGAGCAGAACUGUAGCACAGCCCCGGUAAAUCCCCACGGAGAAGCAGGUUUCCCUUGCCCGGCAAUAGCCGCCAGUGCCGCGCAG